CAGUAGCCGCGGGAAUACGUAGGGUCCGAGCGUUGUCCGGAAUUACUGGGCGUAAAGAGCUCGUAGGUGGUUUGUCGCGUUGUUCGUGAAAACUCACAGCUUAACUGUGGGCGUGCGGGCGAUACGGGCAGACUAGAGUACUGCAGGGGAGACUGGAAUUCCUGGUGUAGCGGUGGAAUGCGCAGAUAUCAGGAGGAACACCGGUGGCGAAGGCGGGUCUCUGGGCAGUAACUGACGCUGAGGAGCGAAAGCGUGGGGAGCGAACAGGAUUAGAUACCCGUGUAGUCCCUGUCUCUUAUAU
This 301-nucleotide ribosomal RNA is filed under the name uncultured bacterium. Its description in RNAcentral is "partial 16S ribosomal RNA". It matches the Rfam family "Bacterial small subunit ribosomal RNA", at positions 509 to 809 of the family's 1533-position model. The record is from RNAcentral.